AUCCAGAUAGCUAUCACUGUUGGAGAUGCUCUAAGGGCAGGAAACCACCCGAUUCAAAUUGUUUGAAAUUCUUGACUAAAACAACACAAGUGGAAGAAAGUGCUGGAUUAUUCAGUUUUGUUUUGCUGGUCAGGAAGCUGGAUUUAGAAAUGGAUAGAAAGAAGGAAUGAAAGAAACAGAGGGGUCCGUUCGAUCUUUUGUUGUUGGUUGCUGAUCAAAGGAUUGUUAAUAGGGAGGGCAUUUUCAUCUGUUCUUUGUUUAUCGGGUUAAAAGAUUAUUCCCAACCACUAUCUUGCUUCAAGUCAUUUUCUUCAGUGAGUACCAGACCCAGCAAGGGUAACCAAAGCACCACAGCAACUUCAUCAUGUACUCAUCAAGUGUGCUUAAUAGCUGGAUGAAGAUUCAUAGUUGAAGGCUACAGACUUUGGCCUGUCAGAUUUUGUGAAACCAGAUGAAAAGUUUAUCAAAAUUGUUGGUGGUACAUACUGUGUAGCCCCCAAAGUGUUACAUAUGGCUUAUGGUACAGAGGCUGUUGUCUGGAGCGUAGGUGUGAUUGCACACAUUCUAUUGUGUGGCAGCUGUCCAUUUUGGCCUUGAACGAAGUUUGGCAUUUUUCGGGCAGUUCUAAAAGUUGAUCCAAGUUUCAAUGAACCACCUUGGCCACAUUCUCUACAGAGGCAAAAGUAAUUUUGUCAAGCGCCUAUUGAAUCAAGACCCACGGAAAAGAAUUACCACUGCACAAGCAUGAAGUCAUCCCUGCCUUGAACAUCAUAACACUGUUAAACUUCCUCUGGACAUAAUAAUAUUGAAGCUCAUGAAGGUUUAUAUGCGCUUAUCACCUCUCCGCAAAACUGCUUUAAGGGGAGUUUUUUGCUCAGCUUUCCAGGUUGGUGUAUCAACAUGGUGUCUUAACAUGACAGGGCCGAUUUUUGUAUCUCUGUUCAAGCCUUUGGGGAUCGUAGUUGCAGUUGCCACUGGUUUUGGAGUGUAGCAUACUCUUUACUCUCUGGGUUCAGAAAAUCUAGAAAGAAAGCACGGGCUAGCUAGCUUAAUUUUGAGUUUAACUACCAAAAGACUAAUUGACUGAAAACACGUAUCAAUAACAAAGAAACCCGCCGCAAAGCGCGGGCUAUCUAUCUAGUUAAUAUAGAAGCAGUCACGCGGAGUGAUACAACCAUGUCUAUGACUAAUUUUGUACAAUCAUGUUCCACGUUGCUACUA
This is a long non-coding RNA of Rosa chinensis, 1221 nucleotides long. RefSeq lists it as uncharacterized. The transcript has 8 exons. NCBI's taxonomy places the organism in Eukaryota, Viridiplantae, Streptophyta, Magnoliopsida, Rosales, Rosaceae. The record is from RefSeq and is a predicted model, not a curated record.